RNAcentral lists this ribosomal RNA (573 nucleotides) under Diaporthe sp. ZH57. RNAcentral describes it as "eukaryotic LSU rRNA". The stretch from base 244 to 397 matches the Rfam family "5.8S ribosomal RNA". The record is from RNAcentral. Lineage: Eukaryota; Fungi; Ascomycota; Sordariomycetes; Diaporthales; Diaporthaceae.
UCUUGGUCCAUUAGAGGAAGUAAAAGUCGUAACAAGGUCUCCGUUGGUGAACCAGCGGAGGGAUCAUUGCUGGAACGCGCCCCAGGCGCACCCAGAAACCCUUUGUGAACUUAUACCUUUUGUUGCCUCGGCGCAUGCUGGCCUCUAGUAGGCCCCUCACCCCGGUGAGGAGAAGGCACGCCGGCGGCCAAGUUAACUCUUGUUUUUACACUGAAACUCUGAGAAAAAACACAAAUGAAUCAAAACUUUCAACAACGGAUCUCUUGGUUCUGGCAUCGAUGAAGAACGCAGCGAAAUGCGAUAAGUAAUGUGAAUUGCAGAAUUCAGUGAAUCAUCGAAUCUUUGAACGCACAUUGCGCCCUCUGGUAUUCCGGAGGGCAUGCCUGUUCGAGCGUCAUUUCAACCCUCAAGCAUUGCUUGGUGUUGGGGCACUGCUUCUAACGAAGCAGGCCCUGAAAUCUAGUGGCGAGCUCGCCAGGACCCCGAGCGCAGUAGUUAAACCCUCGCUCUGGAAGGCCCUGGCGGUGCCCUGCCGUUAAACCCCCAACUUUUGAAAAUUUGACCUCGGAUCAG